UGGGGAAUAUUGGGCAAUGGGGGCAACCCUGACCCAGCGACGCCGCGUGAGUGAAGAAAUCCCUCGGGAUGUAAAGCUCUGUUGUAUGGGAAGAGAAGCAGACGGUACCAUACGAGGAAGCCCCGGCAAACUACGUGCCAGCAGCCGCGGUAAUACGUAGGGGGCAAGCGUUGUCCGGAAUUACUGGGCGUAAAGCGCACGCAGGCGGACUGAUAAGUCAGACGUAAAAGGCACGGGCUUACCCUGUGUAAGACAUCUGAUACUGUCAGUCUAGAGUAUGUGAGAGGGAAGUGGAACUCCCGGUGUAGCGGUGAAAUGCGUAGAUAUCGGGAAGAACACCAGUGGCGAAGGCGGCUUCCUGGCACAAGACUGACGCUCAUGUGCGAAAGCUAGGGUAGCGAACGGG
RNAcentral lists this ribosomal RNA (406 nucleotides) under uncultured bacterium. RNAcentral's name for it is "bacterial SSU rRNA". It matches the Rfam family "Bacterial small subunit ribosomal RNA", at positions 355 to 776 of the family's 1533-position model. The record is from RNAcentral.